RNAcentral lists this ribosomal RNA (232 nucleotides) under uncultured bacterium. RNAcentral's name for it is "partial 16S ribosomal RNA". It matches the Rfam family "Bacterial small subunit ribosomal RNA", at positions 15 to 228 of the family's 1533-position model. The record is from RNAcentral.
GAUCCUGGCUCAGGACGAACGCUGGCGGCGUGCUUAACACAUGCAAGUCGAACGAGAAUCUGCGGAAAGUAGGAUUCGUCCAAUUGAAGCAGAGGACAGUGGCGGACGGGUGAGUAACGCGUGAGGAACCUGCCUUUCGAGAGGGGGACAACAGUUGGAAACGACUGCUAAUACCGCAUAACAUAUAGAUGUCGCAUGGCAUUUAUAUCAAAGAUUUAUCGCUGAAAGAUGG